Long non-coding RNA from Platichthys flesus (European flounder), 460 nucleotides. RefSeq lists it as uncharacterized. NCBI's taxonomy places the organism in Eukaryota, Metazoa, Chordata, Actinopteri, Pleuronectiformes, Pleuronectidae. The transcript is spliced from 3 exons. The record is from RefSeq and is a predicted model, not a curated record.
CCCACUACCAUCAUCCACGUACCACGAGGAAGAUGAGGGAGAGAAAUGAUCCUACCAUUAAAGAGGAAGGACUGAUGCAUGUACUGAGACGGGACGUGAGGGCCUACUCUGCGUGCUCAGAGUUCAAGCCCAGCAGGCUGCAGCGGGCCUGACAUAUUCCGGAACAGCAGCACAGUUUUUGGAUGACUCCUCUGAAGAUGAAAACAUGGCGAGUUCUUCUCAAGAGAAGCAGUACAGGUGUGCCUCAGCUCCACGGUCCCUUCUGCAGCCUCCGCUCCUGAUGCUAACCUCAUGUCUCCAUCACACCAAGCAGCAGACCUGGAGUGACAGACCUUUCUCCAGAGCUGCCCCCUCCCUCUGAAACCCCCCUCUCCAAAACACUAUUUGUGGCGUUUUUUAAAGUCUUAUUUGCAUGAGAAUUGUUGAUCAUAACAUUUCCAGCAGAUGCCUUAAUGUAAUG